This 680-nucleotide ribosomal RNA is filed under the name uncultured bacterium. Its description in RNAcentral is "bacterial SSU rRNA". It matches the Rfam family "Bacterial small subunit ribosomal RNA", at positions 1 to 696 of the family's 1533-position model. The record is from RNAcentral.
CCCUUAGAGUUUGAUCCUGGCUCAGGACGAACGCUGGCGGCGUGCUUAACACAUGCAAGUCGAGCGAGGCCUCACCUUCGGGUGAGUGUCCUAGCGGCGAACGGGUGAGUAACACGUGGGCAACCUGCCCCUAGCACUGGGAUAACUCCGGGAAACCGGGGCUAAUACCGGAUACGACCUCGGAAGGCAUCUUCUGAGGUGGAAAGGGUUACUGGCUAGGGAUGGGCCCGCGGCCUAUCAGCUUGUUGGUGGGGUAACGGCCUACCAAGGCUCCGACGGGUAGCCGGCCUGAGAGGGCGACCGGCCACACUGGGACUGAGACACGGCCCAGACUCCUACGGGAGGCAGCAGUGGGGAAUAUUGCACAAUGGGCGAAAGCCUGAUGCAGCGACGCCGCGUGAGGGAUGACGGCCUUCGGGUUGUAAACCUCCUUCAGCAGGGACGAAGCGAAAGUGACGGUACCUGCAGAAGAAGCACCGGCCAACUACGUGCCAGCAGCCGCGGUAAUACGUAGGGUGCAAGCGUUGUCCGGAAUUAUUGGGCGUAAAGAGCUCGUAGGCGGCUUGUCGCGUCGGCUGUGAAAACCUGGGGCUCAACCCCGGGCCUGCAGCCGAUACGGGCAAGCUAGAAUUCGGUAGGGGAGACUGGAAUUCCUGGUGUAGCGGUGAAAUGCGCAGAUA